GGGGGCGGCACACACUGCAUCUUUGUCCCCAGGCAACCCCGCCACCCCCGAGUCACAGGACUCAGCCUGCCCCAGGAAGUCAUCGAGUCCAACCCCCUGCCCUUAAAGAAGGGAACAUUGAGGCCCGGAGCAGGCAGGGUCCCUGGCUGGCCCAGGACUGCGAGGCAGUGGCCCCGAGCAGGAGGGAGCCCAGGCAGGCAUCAGGGGACAGCCAGCCACUCCCUGCCCCUCCCCAGCAGGCACUGCCCACCCAAGUGCCUCCUUAGUGAUGGCAGACGGGUGAUAAGCAAACUGGCAGAUUCCAGGAGGACAAAUCCAGGAGGGCCAGGCAGGUGUCCAUGGGCUGGGGGUGUCACCGAGGUCAGAGCCAUCGUAAGACGAAGGAGGUCACAUAUGUCCCAGGAGACCUGUGCUCCAUCCUCCCUCCUAAAGGGCCAAGCCCGGGCUGGCUCUUGGGCCUCUGUCCUCAGGGAUCAAUACCCUUCCAGGCAUCAGUGGCCCCGCCUAGGUGCUAGGGCCUCUGGUCAGUGAGAUGAGGGCCAGAUACGGUCAUCCCAAGUCACCCAGCCCCUGCCCAUCUGAGCCCAACUACCCUGCCCUGGACCACGGCCCCGGCAGCCCCAGACACAGGGUGAAGGGAGAAGACAGGAGAGGCCGGCGCCCUGGGGGCUGGAGGGGGGGCGGGGGGAGCAGGCUGUGCCCCAGCCCCUCCGCGUGCNNCGCCUCUGCGGCCUGCUGGCUGGUGGCAGCAAUCGAUAGCAGCAUUAACGCCGCUCGGGCUCUAGUCCCUCCCCCUCCCAGCUCCGGAUCGGGCUCUGCGCGUGGGGCGGGCAGGUCAAUUAGAAGUCAGCUCCCUCUGACACCGCCCGGCCUGCGUUCAGGGCUGGCGCUCUGGCUAAGUCGCUCUGCUUUUGUCUCCAUCCCGCGUCUUGGGGCGGGGGGAACCGACCCUCAGAGGUUCUGUUCGUCUCUGGCCUUCUCUUUGAAUUGCUCGGAUGGGUCUUUUUCUGUCCUUCCUCACGGACGACCCUCCCCCAGGUCCUGGGACCUGCUGAGCUCGGGACCGGAGGACGUGACAUGUCACUCACUGAACAGGUGCUGCACGCAGAACACUGGUUUGUCAGCCACAGGAACUGAAAGUGGGGGUACCCAAGGGGGCCUGGCACACAGGGUAACAACUCCGUCCUCAGACCCAUUCUAACAUCCAGUCCCCAGCCGGCUCCAAAUCUGCCCCGUACCUGGCUCCUCUUCUCCUUCAGACUCUGGGGAAGCUGAUGCCCUGGUCUCAGUGGACCACUGACCACAGGGCCUAUGGGCCCUACUCACGGAAGGGGAGGACAUAAGACAUGUUCUCGCG
This 1357-nucleotide long non-coding RNA is filed under the name Sus scrofa (pig). RNAcentral describes it as "lncRNA (ENSSSCG00005007568.1)". The record is from RNAcentral. Lineage: Eukaryota; Metazoa; Chordata; Mammalia; Artiodactyla; Suidae.